UACGAAGGGUGCAAGCGUUACUCGGAAUUACUGGGCGUAAAGCGUGCGUAGGCGGUUUGUUAAGUCUGUCGUGAAAGCCCCGGGCUCAACCUGGGAAUGGCGGUGGAAACUGGCGAGCUAGAGUACGGUAGAGGAGAGUGGAAUUCCCGGUGUAGCAGUGAAAUGCGUAGAGAUCGGGAGGAACAUCAGUUGCGAAGGCGGCUCUCUGGACCAGUACUGACGCUGAGGCACGAAAGCGUGGGGAGCAAACAGG
Molecule: ribosomal RNA, 253 nt
Filed under: uncultured bacterium
Lineage: Bacteria
Description: partial 16S ribosomal RNA
Rfam family: Bacterial small subunit ribosomal RNA
Source: RNAcentral